AAACUUGGUCAUUUAGAGGAAGUAAAAGUCGUAACAAGG
RNAcentral lists this ribosomal RNA (39 nucleotides) under uncultured Glomeromycotina. Its description in RNAcentral is "partial 5.8S ribosomal RNA". The record is from RNAcentral. Lineage: Eukaryota; Fungi; Glomeromycota.